This 227-nucleotide long non-coding RNA is filed under the name Lathyrus oleraceus (garden pea). RNAcentral describes it as "Pisum sativum (pea) long non-coding RNA (PSAT_LNC024453)". The record is from RNAcentral. Lineage: Eukaryota; Viridiplantae; Streptophyta; Magnoliopsida; Fabales; Fabaceae.
AUCAAUAACAGAGCCGAAGCUCUGAUACCAAUUAAAGAUAGAGAAAACCAAGAAAGGGGGUUUGAAUUGUUUUCACUGACAAUAAAAACUUUUGGCAACGCUACACACCCAACACAAAAGUUUAUCCUGGUUUGCUUGAAAAUCAAAGCUACUCCAGUCCACCCAACCAAGGUGAUUUCGCCUUCAAUAAGGACUUAAUCCAAUAAUCUAGAAAGAUUACAACAAAC